GAUAGAAGAGAUGAAAUAACGACGAAGAAAAUAUUGAGCAAACCCUUUGGAAUUUGUUUGUUCACAAUCGUGUGAUGACGUUGGGAAACAGAAUGGAGAAAAAUUGAGCAAACGAAAUAUUGCGUUGACGCAACGUUGUUUCUCAAUGAAUCUGGUCGCGUGCGUCUGGAAGCGCCAGGGUUGGCUCGAAAACGAAAAAUUGUGGUUUCACGUUUUAUAAAACGGUCCUGGCUUCAUAUGGAAUCUUAUAUCAAACGGGAUAUACUAGGAAAGUGAAGCAAACAGUGCUCGAUGUUACGUAAACGUGUCACAUACUGUACGCCGCGGUUCCAAAGGAAGCGGAUUGAUAUUGAUAAUUCGUAUAGGCAUGAACGAAGUUCACCGACGACGACGACGACGACAGUCUCGAUACGCGAGCAGCCCGGCUAAUUAAUGGUUACAAUGAUUCUGUGCCAACGGUAACAAUGAUUGUGUUGUGAUUGGAUGAAGCGCGAAUAUGACGAGAGAGAGAGAGAGAGAGAGAGAGAGAGAGAGAGAGAGAGAGAGAGAGAGAGAGAGAGAGA
Long non-coding RNA from Frieseomelitta varia, 563 nucleotides. RefSeq lists it as uncharacterized. The transcript is spliced from 3 exons. Lineage: Eukaryota; Metazoa; Arthropoda; Insecta; Hymenoptera; Apidae. The record is from RefSeq and is a predicted model, not a curated record.